This 2923-nucleotide long non-coding RNA is filed under the name Canis lupus familiaris (dog). RNAcentral describes it as "lncRNA (ENSCAFG00000052653.1)". The record is from RNAcentral. Lineage: Eukaryota; Metazoa; Chordata; Mammalia; Carnivora; Canidae.
UUUUUUUUUUUUUUUUUUUUUUUUUUUUUUUUUUCAAAGGUUAAGGACAACUUUAUUGCUACCAGAGGCUUUUAUCAUCAGUACACGGUUCUGACUGUAAUACCUUCCUCAGACUGCAUAAGGAGCCCAGGAUCCAGAAAUUAGGAGAAAUACAGGUAGGGUAAUUUUCAUCAAGAAAAUACUAAUAGCUUAACAUAAAUCUAGGGUACUGAAUUCAGUUAUUACAUGUUACAGACCCAAAUCAUAGAGCUGUCCCAAUAUCUAGAGAGUCUCUCCUACUGAUUAGAAAUGAGUGAAAACUGACCAGUUACCAAAAACAAAAGAAACCAAAACCUUAAUCAUUUGAUAUUUCUUUGGUGAGCACCUGGAUAUAUUAACUUAUCACAAAUUCUUUUAUACAAAUGUCAAUAUGCUUUCAACAAAUCUAACAGUGCCCUAAUUAUAAUUACAUGCCACUUUUAAGUUCUAAAUUAAGAUAAAAAUGAAAACAAUAAUUUUGUUUCUGAACUCCAGGAACUGAAAUGAGACAAACACAAAAUCAAUGUGGUAAUGCUAGUCCUUUUUCUAUUACCACCUCUCAUUCACAUGGGGCAAUUUUGAAGAACCCUUUUUGGAUCAAUCUGAAUCGUGGAUUAAACAUGGCUGCCAGACUGAAAUAAUUUAUUCACUAAAUUGCUAAAAAAGUAAUUUUGAGGGUUUCCUAAUCAGUGGAAGUCAGGCUAUACAGAUCAACAUGCAUAAAGUUCAUUAAGUAGUCAAUAAAGCAGCAAACAAAAACGAGGAAAAUUAAAUCAGGAUGCUGGAGACAGGGUGUGUGCCAGCUAUGAAUUUUGGAACUUUAAAAAAAAAAAAAACACUGAAUAUGAAUUUUUUAUAUGGGUACAAUCUCCAUUACAUUUUAGUAGAGAAAGGAUGGAACUGACAAACACUACAAAAAAAUUUUUACUUGGAAAAAAAAAAAAUUGGAUCUUCUGAAUUUUAUUUAUUUAUUUAUUUUUUUGGUCUUUAUUAUGCUUAAAUAAUGUUGAUUAUAAUUUACCACAAAAGUAAAUUUUUUUUUUUUUUUUCCUGGCUCACUUCAAAUCAGCCUGAUAAGGUAUAUACCUUUAUAUAGCCUUUCCAUGGUUCUCCAUGUUCCCACUCUCAGAGUAGUCUACCUUAGUUUGCACUUAAAGGUAACACUUGAGGCUACAUGACAGAAACUGGCUGCAAAGGUGGACAAGGGGAAGCAUGUCCCUCUUGCCUUGAUAAAUCAGUGCCACAUACUGAACCCACAUUUUCUGAAGCAUUAUCUUCAUUAUAGAGCCGUUUGAUUCCAUCAUAGAAGUCAUCCACUUCCAUUUCCUCUACUUUGCGUUUAGCAGAGGUAUGCUUGCACCCACUGGCAGCUGGGAGAUGAUGGUAGAAGGCUGCUGCACCUCUGACUGGCACUUCUGGUUUGCUGUUGUCCUUGGAGAAAUCUAAAUCUGGGCCUGGGACAGAGGAGGGAUGUAAUCUGAACACUCCUUUGUCACAGGUCACCAGGGUGUGCUUGAGGGGACGGUAGACAUAAACGGAAUUUAGAGGCAGGGAAGACUGCAGAGAAGAAAGGUGAUGUGCCACGAGCUCCCGACAGUGGAUCAGCUGGGAGCUAUCCAUCUGUGCUUUCUGAAGCAGUUCAAUUGUAAGAGGAAGCCAGUCAGGAAUAAGUUUCUCCAUUUCCAAACUAACAAUGGCCAGAGCAAGCAUGGAUCCUUUGAAUUGUAGAAGUUGGUUACAGGCCAUACAGUGAAGGAGUUGCUUGGUAAGAACUGCCAAAUGCUGAGAUGGGCUCAGUUUGGGUAAACUGAAAAGUAACUGAGGCCUAGUUGACACUGCAAUGGCAUGAAAAUGUGAAGAAAAUCCAAUGGUGUAGCUGUGUGAAGAUCCCAAUUCAACUUAUCCAGAAUAAUUCUCUCCAUCCUUAGAAUUUCAGAUGAAGAACAUCCACAGAAACUGUCUCUUGCCAACACCUUCAGUACUGGAAUUCUCUCAUCCUCCUCAACAGUCUUGGCAGCUAGGAAAAAACAGCUGAUCGCAAUACAACUCAGGUAUUUUGGGUGGGCCUUUACAGUGGCUAAAAACCUGUCCAAAAGACUGCUAGCCAGAGCAAAUGUUUCUGGGUAAAGGUUGAAUUGGUACUUGAGCUUGGCCAGCCACUGAAUCACUUCAUCUCUCUGGGAUGGAGAAACAUUCUGAUUUGUAGGCAUUUUUGGCACAUUCACCUUCCACAUCUGGGCUUCCCUAGAGAUUGCCUUUUCCAAGAGGAAAGACAAUCUCUGGUUUUCCAAAGGCCCUGGAAACUUCAUGAUAUCCUUUGGAUCUGCCUGCCUCCCAGCCUGAUGUAGCUACCUUCUCCUCCUCUUCCUCCUCUUCCUCCUCCUCCUCCUCCCCGGCGGAGCUGUAGGCCUCACAGUGGAGACGCGGGGUCAUCCGCGGGCCCGUUACCACCUCAUUUUCCUCAGCGCGCGGCGGCCGGGCGCGCGGGACGCGGGCGGGACCGACUGAGGAGGGAGAAGAGGGGGAAGCGGGCGCGGGCCCGGGCCGGGGAGCGGGGAGCGGGCGGUCGAGCGGGACGCAGGGCUGCGGCCGGCGGGUCAGCGCACCAGCUCCAUGACUGCCCCCGACCUGAGGCCGUCGCGGCCGCCGCGGGUCCCCCGCCUCCAACCGCCGCCGCUAAUGCCCGGGUGGGGACGGGGGUUCCCUCUCGCCAUAGGGCGGCGGGGGCCGGGGAGAGGCGGGGGGUGAGGCCGGCUCUGCCCCUGCCCGGGAGAAGCGUCUCUGAGGGGAAAUGGUGAGAAGGGGGGAAGGGAGGGAAAAGGAAAAAAAAGGGGGAAAGGGGGGAAAAUAAGAAAAAGCGAGACAGAGACGCUGCCGCGUCCGCUCGCGGGGAAGGCGGGGGGGG